UGCUUUGGCAGCAUGUAUGCAAAAAAAAAAAACUGGAACGAUACAGAGAAGAUUAGCAUGGCCCCUGCACACAGAUGAUGCACAAAUUCACAAAGUGUUCCAUAUAACA
This 109-nucleotide small nuclear RNA is filed under the name Zalophus californianus (California sea lion). Lineage: Eukaryota; Metazoa; Chordata; Mammalia; Carnivora; Otariidae. The record is from RNAcentral.